CAACAACAUGCAUGAUGUUAAGAAAAUCAAAUCACUGAUACUUGAUCAUUUGAUAAUAAAAGACGUUAUUAAAGCAUGUAGUUCAGAUUUCUUUUUUUUAGUCCAUUAAUUCGAAUGACGAAUAUAGAGUAUUACUCAUCCAUUCACGUGGCUAAUCUAUGAGGCUAAUCUAUGAUCUUGCAACAAUAUUUUAUCUACGAUUAUUUAAGUUGUGCAUUAUUUGGAUGAAUUUCAUAAGUCACGCCUAAAAAUGAGUCAUGCCUACUCCAUGUUAAACUUUUUGAAUUAGGAAUAAUCUUU
Molecule: long non-coding RNA, 300 nt
Filed under: Capsicum annuum
Lineage: Eukaryota; Viridiplantae; Streptophyta; Magnoliopsida; Solanales; Solanaceae
Description: long non-coding RNA (CANN_LNC016333)
Source: RNAcentral